Molecule: long non-coding RNA, 2710 nt
Organism: Triticum aestivum (bread wheat)
Lineage: Eukaryota; Viridiplantae; Streptophyta; Magnoliopsida; Poales; Poaceae
Exons: 5
Source: RefSeq, a predicted model, not a curated record
GCCGCGUGCGCCUCGCGCAUUUGCUGGCCCGCUUCGGUGUGGUUCCAACACAGCGUCCACUCCACCAACCUAGCUCUCUUUCCCCAAUCCCCUUCUCCCGCACGAACCCUAGCAAUCGACAGCCGCCACAUCCUCACUCGUCCCAGCCGCCUCCAGCUUGCUUCCUCCUCCUCAAUCCUCCUGCAUUGGUCACGCCCCUCCUCCCGCAUCUCACCCAUCUCGAUGAAUCUGAGGCGUGCGGGCACGGAGGCGAGGUUCUCCGGCGGCGACUGGAACCUCCAGGCAGAGGGCGACCCCAUGGAUCCGUCCCUGUAGGAGCGAGAAGGAAGGAGAGGAUGUAGAUAUUGAGGAAAGAGGAGACCGGCCACGGAGAUGGGAUGAGAACGUCCAUGCCGAGCCAAUCGAGCCACACCUCCGGUGCGCGACCCCAGGGAGGAUUUUGCGCUGCCGUCUUCUUGAGCCAGCCUGUGCCCUGGAAGAAGGACACCAGCCGAGAAGGAUGACGUGGAGGAAAGGAUGACGUGGAGGAGGGGCUGCCUUUUCCUCGGAGAGGAGGUCGACCGUCCGAGGCAUUGUGUGGGAAUGAAGCAAAAAGCAUGAAGAAAAUAGAGCAGGUCGUGUGUCGUCGUGCACGUAGUCUGACUUCCAUUGGCGUAAUUUGUGAACAAUCAGUACUGCACCAGGUUAUCUACAGAGGAAUGCAAGGAUAACUAGAUUAAACAUUUCACAAGAUCCUCCCAAAUACAGGAACAAACUCCUUUCAAGAUAUUAUGAGUGUGCUUGAUUACCGGGGAUUGUCAGAUGAAAAGAAGGACAUCGGCGAGAAGGGGCUCUCUGAGGCGGCUGCACUCGGUCCCCCAUGCAGCCACGCACCACAUCGUCCGGCGACGUUGAUGUCGCUGCUGCCUCAGAGACCUGGAUGAUUCUGUUGUUGGCUUCUGCUAUACUCUCUCUCUCUCUCUCUCUCAGUGGUGUAGGCAGAUUAAAAUGGCAGAUUCAUUCUGUAGGGAUUUGGUUAGGAGAUGAUUCAAGAUUUUGAUUAGGAAUGGUCUAGAUGUGGAUAUGAGUCAAUAAUGUUCCUCUACGUCCAGUUUGAAAGAAGAGAGUGGGUUCUCAAAUACAGUGAGAUCUUGGUUGGAGAGUGAGUAAUGCAAUAGUCUGCGUGUAGUAUGAGGUUGGAACUAAUGCUAAAUAUACUAUUGUUGGAACUAAUACUAAAUAUACAAUUUUGGUUUCUGACCAUAAUCUAGGUAUUUCCUGUUAAUAGCGGUAAUUGCCUUUGGCUCCUAGGUGCAUAUGCACCCAUUGUCGAAAUGCACAUUUCAAAAUGUUAAAAAAUUCGGAACAAAAAUCCCGCGUGUAUAUCCGGACAUUUUAUGUGUAUGCACAAGGUUUCGGUGAAAAACGACGUUUUUUGUGGCUUGUGUAAAAAAGACAAUUUCGAAAUACUCAUUUCGAAAUGUUAAAAAAUUUGGAACAAAAAUCCCGUGUGUAGGUUGAUAGAAGCCAAAUCAAACCUACAUUUGGUGCUUAUAAGCUAAAGGUGUUAUGAGGGGAUGAAAACUGAAGUACAGAAUCUCUUAGCUUCAUAUAUUAAGUCUGAAAAGCUUCAUUUCUUAUCCAGGUUCUAUUUUCUUUCAGGCCAUCAGUUACGAUGUCUUGGCUAGAGCUACAGAUACAUUGAGAAUAAAUUUGUUUUGUUUUACUGAAUUUCUGUACAUUGUACGAAAAAGGUGCACCUAUUAUGCCCAGUAGAAAUUUCAGCUGAGCGAUUUGUGCAGACUUACAAAGCUACCAUGAUAGAUGUUAGUGACUGUAUUAUUGGGGCUAUGUUACAUCUGUAGGGUUGAAUUGAUGUCUAGAAAUACCAGAGUGACAUUUUAUCUUAUGCAGUGAUAAACUGAUAAUUAAGUAGAGUCAUACGUAGUUGGAAACAGGGUCGCUCGAAGCAAACCAGCUGCUUAUUCAGUAUCUUUAACACUCGUGGAAAAGUUAAAUGCCCAUCCUAAAUUCCUAAUUAUCAUCACAUAACUGAAAGUGCGUUAGACCAGUGGGGUUAUGAGAAAUAAAUAAUUUCUAUCCCAUAGCUGAACUGUUUUUUUUUUCUCAGUAUGUAUAUAUGUCAGAGAUGUGUAUGAUUCAGAUAAUUUUCUUCAUUUGUUCACUUUUCCAAUGUAUGGCUGACAUGCUUCGUUAUGUUAUAUCACGUCUGGGAGUGCAUUGCACCGGUGGUGUUAUCAGAAUGGAUAAUUUCGGUCACAUAACUGAGCUAUUCCUUUCCUCGGUGUAUAUAUAUAAGUUACAUAUGUGCAUGAUUAUGAUAAAUCUCUGCAUUUGGUAAAUUCACCUAUGCAUGGCUUACAUGCUUCUUAUGUUACGUUUCUUAAGCUACAUGCCUAAUUAUACAAAAUGUUUCCAAGUGAGUGCUUUUCCAAUGGACUGGAUGCAUGGAGGAUGUCAGAUAAGUUGGUGCUAUGUUUCUUGCAUGGUUUGUAUGUUUGUUGCAAAAAAAUAGGACACGAAAAAGAUCUAUGCUCAUGAAGAUGGCAGAAGGGAACUACACGUGGAACAAGAGAAGAACCACCUACGCUGGCCAGAGUUGGGCGUCUGGACAGUAGUAAUGCACAAAAAUUGCUUGCCCUAUAGAGGCAAUGUAUUCUACUACUGUGAUUUUUUUGUUAUAAAAUUAUGGUUCAACCAAAUGUAUUUA